AUCAGCCUCCUGAGAGCUGGGACUACAGGCGCCUGCCACCACAUCCGGUUAAUUUUUGUAUUUUUAGUAGAGAUGGGGUUUUGCCAUGUUGGCCAGGCUGGUCUUGAACUCCUGAGCUCAGGUGAUCUGCCCACCUCGGCCUCCCAAAGUUCUGGGAUUACAGGCGUGAGCCAUGGUGCCCAGCCUGGCUCCUGUUUUUUGAGACAGGGUUUCACCCUGUUUCCCAGGUUGGAGUAUAGUGGUGCCGUCAUGACUUACUGCAGCCUUGAACUCUUUGGCUCAAGCAGUCCUCCCCACUCAGCCUCUCUAGUAGCUGGGGCUCCAGGCAUGAAUCACCGUGCCAGACUAAGUUUUUUUAAAAUUUUUUGUAGAGAGAAUCUCUCUCUGUUGCACAGGCUAUUCUUGAACUCCUAGGCUCAAGUGAUCCUCCUGCUUCAGCCUCCGAAAGUGCUGGGAUUACAGUUGUGAGUCACUGUGCCUGGCUCUUUUAAUCUUGAAAACUCUGGGAAGAGCUCACUUCUGUUUAGGAGGCUGCCUUGGGAACUGCAUCUCCUGGGCUGGUGCUCUGUGCUGCUUGGAGUCUGCAGACCCUAUCUGGGUCGCUUGGCCUCCCGUGCACAAGCUGCCAGAAUGGAGGCCCCAUUCUCAAUGUGGGGGCUGCCCAAAGAGCAGGGAGCUUCCCACAGGACAGAGGCUGGGCACCUGCUUGGCCUGGUUCUUCCUUUUCCCAGGGCUCCAACACCCACCCCCUCAGGUCCUCCCAAACCCUGCAGGUCCCUGGCCUGGUCCGUCCACACCUACACUCAGGAAUCUCUACACAUCUCUGAGUUGCUGCAUCUGUCUUCAGGCACAGCCCACCAGCCCCCCUGGGUACCCAAAGACACCGCAAAUAUCAGCCAUUCCAGACAACGUCCUCCUCCCGUGUCCCUAUCUCAUGGAGUAAUGCCUCUAAUUCAGCCACACCAAGACCCCACGCUCCACAUCCCCUAGAACUCUCAUCUCCUGUGGCCCAACAUGGCCCUUCCUUUCAGCAGUGGGAUGUGGGAAGGAUCAAGGUCACCCUUGUCCAAAUCCCAUGCAGACAACGGUGUUGGAGUCUUGGGCCCAAAGACCAGCUCCUAGAACCUGCAGGGAAGCAACGGCACGUUCCAUCUCUCCCCAUGCCACUGAGGAAUCAUUGGUGGCAGGAUUCUCAGCAGGCAUGGCCGUGGGUGCACAGAACAGAGAAAGGAUGGCCUGGACCACACACAUCACUGUGUGCAGAUGCUUUCCUAGACACUGCAGCCAAGGACACAGAGGCUCAGAGAGAAUAACCUCCAUCUCCUGGGUCCCAGCGAUUCUCCUGCCUCAGCCUCUUCCUAUUUCACAAGUAGGGAAACUGAAGCCCAGGUAGGCAAGCCUGACUUGCUGGAGUCACACAGGAAGUUGGCAGCUCUGCUCCAUCCCUGGGAUCUGGAGCCCCUGCUCUGGGGAAGGAGAGGUGGGGCGCUGCCUUCCCAGAGUCCCCUCAAGCUGGCAGGGACGGCUGUACCCCCAGGGUCAGAGGAGAACUAAAAGGAGCGGAAGCUGGCCUGGGUCCAGGGAGAGACCUCGUGUUUGCCCAAAAGGGAGCUGGAGAGGGGCAGCUGGGCCCAUAUGCAGGGAGGAGCUGCAGGGAGCUGGUGGCGGGGCAGCAAAGAGAAGUGGAUUUGGUGGGUAGAGGGGCCCCUCCUUGGUUCUAGUCCUCCCCGCAGCCCCUUGCAAACAGGCGGGGCUCUCCUGUCCUUCUUGUCUCCUGCAGCAAGCCCUACAUGAAGAGGCCUCUUUGGUGAGUGGCAGCUCAACCUCUGCUAAAUGCCUCCAGUGAUGGGGAGUUCACUACCUUCCAAAGUUUUUAAAAGAUGUUAACCACUGCUAUUCAAGAACAAUUCUAGAAUUUUUUUUUUUUUGAAAGACAAGGUCUCAUUCUGUCUCGCAGGCCAGAGUGCAGUGGUGUGAUCAUAGCUCACUGCAGCUUUGACUUCCUGGGCUCAAGCAAUCCUCCCUCCUCAGCCUCCUGAGUACCUGAGACUACAGAUGUGCACCACCACACUGGCUCAUUGUUUUCAUUUUUUGUAGAGACAGGAUCUCACUAUGUUGCCCAGGCUGGUCUCCUGGCUUCAAGCAAUCCUCCUGCCUUGGCCUCCCAAAGUGCUGGGAUUACAGGCGUGAGCCACUGCAUCUGGCCUUUUUUUUUUGGAGAUAGAGUCUCGCUCUGUCGCCCAGGGUGGAGUGCAGUGGCGUGAUCUCGGCUCAUUGCAACCUCCGCCUUCCGGGUUCACACCAUUCUCCUGCCUCAGCCUCCCGAGUAGCUGGGAUUACAGGCAUCUGCCAACCAUGCCUGGCUAAUUUUUGUAUUUUUUGGUGGAGACAGGGUCUCACCAUGUUGGCUAGGCUGGUUUCGAACUCCCGACCUCAGGUGAUCUACCCGCCUCAGCCUCCCAAAGUCCUGGGAUUACAGGCUGAGCCACCGCGACCGGCCCUGCUGUUGCUUCUGAGGUUUGAAAACCGCUGCCUCAAUGCUCCUGAUUCAGCUCUUCUUACCCAAAGGUUCCCCCACCUCAUCUACUCUGUUCCUGCACAGUCGCCCUUUUCUCUGAUGCCCCGGGCAGGUUUCUCUCUGCCAGCUCCACGCUUCUGGAGUCCCCCAUCCGUCUUGGGGCCCAGCUGCCCACUGUCUGGGUUCAGACCUUCUCAACACUCCCUGGCUUCUCUGCCCUAGUUUUGCCUUCUCCAAUCCACUCUUGGUGGGUGGAAGUACGGUUACCAUGGUAACUUGAAGACAACGCAAAUCUGAUUGUAUCAUUACAAUGACUGGGAAAACCUCCAGUGCCACAAAAUAAAGCUCAAGUCACUAGCUUUGCAGUCCAGGCCCUUUACCAUUCCGGCAGCAUUUCUGGGGGCUAUUCUCCUUCCCCCCACUGCACAACCCCGCCUGGCCACCCCAGGCUCAGGCUGCAGAACAGCGUAGACCAGGGAGUGGCUUUGGGGUCAUGCUAACUACCUGGUUUUUGUCUCUUUCAGGCUGUUUGCUCAGUUGCAAAAUGGGAAGGACAACAGCACCCGCCUCACAGGCUAAGAGGCUGUGUGUGAAAAGCCCGCAGCACAGGAUCUGGCACGCGUGGACGUGCGGGAUGGGAGGAGGGGAUUUCCCAGCUCCUCAUCUCUGCAGGGACUGGCCUUGGCCUAGGGAACACUAGCUGUCCAGGGAGGGGGAGCUUUCCCUGAGCCCCCCGAUGUGUGGCAGGCAGAGGAGAGCAAGCUACUUCUGGGAGGGGAGUUGUGGGGAAGGGCAAGUUAGUCUUUACUGAGGGUGGCAGUGAGCUGGCACUUUGGUCUCACCUCGGCUGCAGAAACCCACCCUGCUCCCGUCUUAUUUCCUGGGGAUUUCAGCUGUGUGCAGGCACAGAUGCAUCUCCCAAGUGCCUCAUGCUUGCCUUGAUCUCCUCUCCUUCCUCUGGCCAGUCCUGAACCUCUUGGUGAUCCACGGCGGCACCUCUGUGUCCUACAUCCUUCUCUGGCCAUCUCCUUCCCUCCUUCCAGCCCUCCCUCUAGGACCCUGACCCCAACCAUCCUUCAUCCCCAUGGGGACAUUCAGUCCACUGACUCAUCACCCUCCCCUGUCCCUCUGUGAGAGAAGGAGCAGGCAGAGAGGAUCUUGCAAGAGCCUUCAGCAACUCUCUUCCACCCAUCCUGUUGCUUGCUGCUUUUUUUUUUUUUUUUUCCAAAAAAAUAGAGAUGGGGUCUUGCUAUGUGGCUGGUCUCAAACUCCUGGGCUCAAGUGAUCCUCCUGCCUCGGCCUCCCAAAGUGCUGGAUUACAGGCGUGAGCCACCACACCCGGCUCCGUUCCCUUUCUAAGCAGGGUGCUCCUUUUCUUGCCAUUUCCCCCAUCCUCCUUCCUCUCCCACAGCUCACUUCCCUCUCUACUGAAUCUGCUGAAGAUCAUGCAGCUGCUGUUCCUGCCUCUAAAACCCUCUCUUGGCUGGGUGUGGUGGGUGACAUAUGUAAUCCCAGCACUUUGGGAGGCUGAGGCAGGAGAAUCACUUGAACCCGGGAGGCGGAGGUUGCAGUGAGCCGAGAUUGCGCCACUGCACUCCAGCCUAGGUGAUAGAGCAAGACUCUGUCCCCUCCCUCCACCAAAAAAAUAAAGCCCUCUCUGCAUCCAUUCCACUCUCCACUCUUGCUCAUUCUCUCCUGCCCUCUAAAAGGUGAUCUGUCUUUGGCAGAUUCAAUCACUUGCCUUUCUCAUUCUCUCCUGAGCCCACUAUUCCACUCUGGUCCCCACCACUUCCCCCAAAACUGCUUUGAACCAUCGCACUGCAACCUGUUGCUUAGCCCCUCCAUCUAGUCUCAGGCGUUAGGACUGACUGCCCAGCAGAGGCUGGUGCAACCAAUCACCUCCUUUAGUAAGUUUCUCCCUGGGCUUCACCUCUUCACCUGUGGGCUUUCCACCUGUCUCUCUCUUUUUUUUUUAAGACAGUCUCCUCUGUUGCCAGGCUGGAAUGCCGUGGCGCAAUCUCAGCUCACUGCAACCUCUACCUCCUGGGUUCAAGCGAUUCUCCUGCCUCAGGCUCCCAAGUAGCUGGGAUUACAGGUGCCCGCCACCACACCGGGCUAAUUUUUGUAUUUUUAGUAGAGUCGGGGUUUCACCAUGUUGCCCAGGCUGGUCUCGAACUCCUGACCUUACGUGAUCCACCCGCCUCAGCCUCCCAAAGUGCUGGGA
This 4742-nucleotide long non-coding RNA is filed under the name Homo sapiens (human). RNAcentral's name for it is "non-protein coding lnc-SBDS-4:1". The record is from RNAcentral. Lineage: Eukaryota; Metazoa; Chordata; Mammalia; Primates; Hominidae.